Molecule: ribosomal RNA, 445 nt
Filed under: uncultured bacterium
Lineage: Bacteria
Description: partial 16S ribosomal RNA
Rfam family: Bacterial small subunit ribosomal RNA
Source: RNAcentral
GUGAGGAAUAUUGCGCAAUGGAGGCAACUCUGACGCAGCCAUGCCGCGUGCAGGAAGAAGGCGCUACGCGUUGUAAACUGCUUUUAACCGGGAAGAAACCCCAGGACGUGUCCUGGGUUGACGGUACCGGAGGAAUAAGCACCGGCUAACUUCGUGCCAGCAGCCGCGGUAAUACGAAGGGUGCAAGCGUUAUCCGGAUUCAUUGGGUUUAAAGGGUGCGUAGGCGGAGCGUUAAGUCAGUGGUGAAAUCCUGCAGCUUAACUGUAGACUUGCCAUUGAUACUGGCGCUCUUGAGUGCGCUUGAAGUGGGCGGAAUGUGCCGUGUAGCGGUGAAAUGCUUAGAUAUGGCACAGAACACCAAUUGCAAAGGCAGCUCACUAAGGCGAUACUGACGCUGAGGCACGAAAGCGUGGGGAUCGAACAGGAUUAGAAACCCGGGUAGUCC